GUUGCGGACAGUGUCUGGUGGGUAGUUUGACUGGGGCGGUCUCCUCCUAAAGAGUAACGGAGGAGCACGAAGGUUGGCUAAUCCUGGUCGGACAUCAGGAGGUUAGUGCAAUGGCAUAAGCCAGCUUGACUGCGAGCGUGACGGCGCGAGCAGGUGCGAAAGCAGGUCAUAGUGAUCCGGUGGUUCUGAAUGGAAGGGCCAUCGCUCAACGGAUAAAAGGUACUCCGGGGAUAACAGGCUGAUACCGCCCAAGAGUUCAUAUCGACGGCGGUGUUUGGCACCUCGAUGUCGGCUCAUCACAUCCUGGGGCUGAAGUAGGUCCCAAGGGUAUGGCUGUUCGCCAUUUAAAGUGGUACGCGAGCUGGGUUUAGAACGUCGUGAGACAGUUCGGUCCCUAUCUGCCGUGGGCGCUGGAGAACUGAGGGGGGCUGCUCCUAGUACGAGAGGACCGGAGUGGACGCAUCACUGGUGUUCGGGUUGUCAUGCCAAUGGCACUGCCCGGUAGCUAAAUGCGGAAGAGAUAAGUGCUGAAAGCAUCUAAGCACGAAACUUGCCCCGAGAUGAGUUCUCCCUGAGACUUUAGGUCUCCUGAAGGAACGUUGAAGACGACGACGUUGAUAGGCCGGGUGUGUAAGCGCAGCGAUGCGUUGAGCUAACCGGUACUAAUGAACCGUGAGGCUUAACCUUACA
RNAcentral lists this ribosomal RNA (690 nucleotides) under Salmonella enterica. Its description in RNAcentral is "partial 23S ribosomal RNA". It matches the Rfam family "Bacterial large subunit ribosomal RNA", at positions 2244 to 2925 of the family's 2925-position model. RNAcentral also lists the same sequence under 1 other name. Lineage: Bacteria; Pseudomonadati; Pseudomonadota; Gammaproteobacteria; Enterobacterales; Enterobacteriaceae. The record is from RNAcentral.